GAAAUAACCCUGAUUAAACUUCUAAUUUAAUACCUAGUGAUCUUAAAUCAUUAUUAUUUCU
RNAcentral lists this transfer RNA (61 nucleotides) under Diplectrona albofasciata. Its description in RNAcentral is "tRNA-Ser". The record is from RNAcentral. Lineage: Eukaryota; Metazoa; Arthropoda; Insecta; Trichoptera; Hydropsychidae.